UACGUAGGGUGCGAGCGUUGUCCGGAAUUAUUGGGCGUAAAGAGCUCGUAGGCGGCUUGUCGCGUCGGAUGUGAAAGCCCGGGGCUUAACUCCGGGUCUGCAUUCGAUACGGGCAGGCUAGAGUUCGGUAGGGGAGAUCGGAAUUCCUGGUGUAGCGGUGAAAUGCGCAGAUAUCGGGAGGAACACCCGUAGCGAAGGCGGCACUCUGGGCCGGUACUGACGCUGAGGUGCGAAAGCGUGGGGAGCAAACAGG
RNAcentral lists this ribosomal RNA (253 nucleotides) under uncultured bacterium. RNAcentral describes it as "partial 16S ribosomal RNA". It matches the Rfam family "Bacterial small subunit ribosomal RNA", at positions 524 to 776 of the family's 1533-position model. The record is from RNAcentral.